RNAcentral lists this ribosomal RNA (510 nucleotides) under uncultured bacterium. RNAcentral describes it as "partial 16S ribosomal RNA". It matches the Rfam family "Bacterial small subunit ribosomal RNA", at positions 28 to 507 of the family's 1533-position model. The record is from RNAcentral.
GACGAACGCUGGCGGCGUGCUUAACACAUGCAAGUCGAACGAAGAGCGAUGGAAGCUUGCUUCUAUCAAUCUUAGUGGCGAACGGGUGAGUAACGCGUAAUCAACCUGCCCUUCAGAGGGGGACAACAGUUGGAAACGACUGCUAAUACCGCAUACGAUCUGACCUCGGCAUCGAGGAUAGAUGAAAGGUGGCCUCUAUUUAUAAGCUAUCACUGAAGGAGGGGAUUGCGUCUGAUUAGCUAGUUGGAGGGGUAACGGCCCACCAAGGCGAUGAUCAGUAGCCGGUCUGAGAGGAUGAACGGCCACAUUGGGACUGAGACACGGCCCAGACUCCUACGGGAGGCAGCAGUGGGGAAUCGUCCGCAAUGGACGAAAGUCUGACGGAGCAACGCCGCGUGAGUGAUGACGGCCGUCGGGUUGUAAAGCUCUGUUAAUCGGGACGAAAGGCCUUCUUGCGAAUAGUUAGAAGGAUUGACGGUACCGGAAUAGAAAGCCACGGCUAACUACGUG